RNAcentral lists this ribosomal RNA (429 nucleotides) under Bacteroidota bacterium. RNAcentral describes it as "Bacteroidetes bacterium partial 16S ribosomal RNA". It matches the Rfam family "Bacterial small subunit ribosomal RNA", at positions 355 to 776 of the family's 1533-position model. Lineage: Bacteria; Pseudomonadati; Bacteroidota. The record is from RNAcentral.
UAGGGAAUCUUCCGCAAUGGACGCAAGUCUGACGGAGCAACGCCGCGUGAGUGAAGAAGGAUUUCGGUUCGUAAAACUCUGUUGUUAGAGAAGAACAGCGCAUAGAGUAACUGUUAUGCGUGUGACGGUAUCUAACCAGAAAGCCACGGCUAACUACGUGCCAGCAGCCGCGGUAAUACGUAGGUGGUAAGCGUUGUCCGGAUUUAUUGGGCGUAAAGCGAGCGCAGGCGGUCAAUUAAGUCUGAUGUGAAAGCCCCCGGCUCAACCGGGGAGGGUCAUUGGAAACUGGUUGACUUGAGUGCAGAAGAGGAGAGUGGAAUUCCAUGUGUAGCGGUGAAAUGCGUAGAUAUAUGGAGGAACACCAGUGGCGAAGGCGACUCUCUGGUCUGUAACUGACGCUGAGGCUCGAAAGCGUGGGUAGCAAACAGG